RNAcentral lists this ribosomal RNA (378 nucleotides) under uncultured eukaryote. RNAcentral describes it as "partial 18S ribosomal RNA". It matches the Rfam family "Eukaryotic small subunit ribosomal RNA", at positions 592 to 976 of the family's 1831-position model. The record is from RNAcentral.
CAAUAGCGUAUACUUAAGUUGUUGCAGUUAAAAAGCUCGUAGUUGGAUUUCGGGUGUGAACGACCGGUCCGUCUUUGAUGUGUACUGGUUGGUUGCGCCUUAUUGUCGAGGACGUGGUUCUAGCUUUCAUUAGCCGGGACACGGAGUCGGCAGCGUUACUUUGAGAAAAUUAGAGUGUUCAAAGCAGGCUAUCGCUCUGAAUACUACAGCAUGGAAUAACACGAUAGGACUCCGAGCCUAUUCUGUUGGUCUUCGGGACCGGAGUAAUGAUUAAGAGGGACAGUUGGGGGCAUUCGUAUUCCGAUGUCAGAGGUGAAAUUCUUGGAUUAUCGGAAGACGAGCAUCUGCGAAAGCAUUUGCCAAGGAUGUUUUCAUUAA